RNAcentral lists this ribosomal RNA (207 nucleotides) under Triticum aestivum (bread wheat). RNAcentral describes it as "partial small subunit ribosomal RNA". The record is from RNAcentral. Lineage: Eukaryota; Viridiplantae; Streptophyta; Magnoliopsida; Poales; Poaceae.
AUGCCCCUCCCCAUUCAGAUCGCGGCCUCGAGAUACGGCGGCCCAGUGCUACACUUCGAGCUGAGACGGCAGCGGUGGCGGCAGGACGGCAUGCCGGAUCAAGUCCCCGUGGUCAUCAGCGGCGGGCACGGAUCCAGCUCCAUCCAGCUGCGGGUAUGGAUCCAGGUCCAUCCGGCGGCGGGCACAGAUCCAGAUCCAUCCGGCUGA